This 501-nucleotide long non-coding RNA is filed under the name Mytilus galloprovincialis (Mediterranean mussel). The record is from RNAcentral. Lineage: Eukaryota; Metazoa; Mollusca; Bivalvia; Mytilida; Mytilidae.
CUACAGAUAUCGCUAUGAUGUAUCUGUAUACUAUACAUAUAUCGCUUUAAAGCUCCGCCCACUGCAGGACUGAAUAUUGUAUGAACCUACGUGAUCUCAGAAUGUGUAUUGCGAAUUAUCGAUUACUUGUAUACGUUCUUAGUCUGUUUGUUUUCAAACAUUUCUUUAGAGCAAUAAGAAUCACACCAAUUUUCUGAUAAUACACACAUGAACAACAGUUGAUUUCAAAACUUGAAUGUGUAUGAUUGUGUAAAAAAAACAACCAUGUCAAUUUCAGCAUGCAUGUUUAGUGAAUGUCGAGUCUGAAGCGUAGGACAACUCGUACACUCCUGUUUCAAAUUGGACAAAGUUUUGUUAUUUGUUUUUACACCUGAAAUUAGUUGUUCAGUUGAAAUCGAUAAUUAUUCACCUAUGUAUUAUUGUUGACCAUUCGAGAUCCUUUUUUUGCGAACCCGUCUUCAGCUGAAUGUGUGAUUACUGUAUCGUAUUACUACACCGGCC